CCUACGGGCGGCAGCAGUGGGGAAUAUUGCACAAUGGGGGAAACCCUGAUGCAGCGACGCCGCGUGAGUGAAGAAGUAUCUCGGUACGUAAAGCUCUAUCAGCAGGGAAGAAAAUGACGGUACCUGACUAAGAAGCCACGGCUAAUUACGUGCCAGCAGCCGCGUUAAUACGGAGGGGGCAAGCGUUAUCCGGAUUUACUGGGUGUAAAGGGAGCGUAGACGGCAGCACAAGUCAGGAGUGAAAUCCCGGGGCUUAACCCCGGAACUGCUUUGGAAACUGUACGGCUGGAGUGCAGGAGGGGUAGGCGGAAUUCCUAGUGUAGCGGUGAAAGGCGUAGAUAUUAGGAGGAACACCGGUGGCGAAGGCGGCUUACUGGACUGUAACUGACGUUGAGGCUCGAAGGCGUGGGGAGCAAACAGGAUUAGAUACCCGGGUAGUC
RNAcentral lists this ribosomal RNA (440 nucleotides) under uncultured bacterium. RNAcentral's name for it is "partial 16S ribosomal RNA". It matches the Rfam family "Bacterial small subunit ribosomal RNA", at positions 338 to 795 of the family's 1533-position model. The record is from RNAcentral.